UUCCUCCUGCAACGGGAGGUAAGGCCUGCUCACUGAUGUUUUAAAGAGCCGCAGUAUCCUAACUGUGCUAAGGUAGCAUAAUCAUUAGUCUUUUAAUUGGAGACUGGUAUGAAUGGCUAAACGAGAAAUUGACUUUUUUUGUUAUAUAAAUUGAAUUUAAUUUUUUAGUGAAAAAGCUAAAAUACUUCAGAAAGACGAGAAGACCCUAUAGAGUUUUAUAUUUAGAAGGUUUUUCUCUUAUUAGAUUUUUUUCGGAAAAAAACUUUUAAGAUAUUUUGUUGGGGCGACAUUAAGAUAAGAAAAACUCUUUAUUUAAAAAAUUUUAAUAAAAAGAAAGUUUGAUCCUCUAUAAGAGAUCAAAAGAAAAAAUUACCUUAGGGAUAACAGCGUAAUCUUUUUUGAGAGUUCUAAUCGACGAAAAGGUUUGCGACCUCGAUGUUGGACUAAAAUUUAGGCAGGGUGCAGCAGUUCUGCUUUUAGGUCUGUUCGACCUAUAAUAUUUUACACGAUCUGAGUUCAGACCGGCGUAAG
This 531-nucleotide ribosomal RNA is filed under the name Amphibalanus rhizophorae. Its description in RNAcentral is "partial 16S ribosomal RNA". It matches the Rfam family "Bacterial large subunit ribosomal RNA", at positions 1834 to 2625 of the family's 2925-position model. Lineage: Eukaryota; Metazoa; Arthropoda; Thecostraca; Balanomorpha; Balanidae. The record is from RNAcentral.